AUUGAACGCUGGCGGCAUGCCUUACACAUGCAAGUCGAACGGCAGCACGGGUGCUUGCACCUGGUGGCGAGUGGCGAAAGGGUGAGUAAUACAUCGGAACAUGUCCUGUAGUGGGGGAUAGCCCGGCGAAAGCCGGAUUAAUACCGCAUACGAUCUACGGAUGAAAGUGGGGGGCCAUCGGGCCUCGCGCUAUACUGUUGGCCGAUGGCUGAUUAGUUAGUUGGCGGGGUAAAGGCCUACCAGGGCGACGAUCAGUAAAUCGUCUAAGAGGACGACCAGCCACACUGGGACUAAGACACGGCCCAGACUCCUACGGGAGGCAGCAGUGGGGAAUUUUGGACAAUGGACGAAAGCCUGAUCCAGCAAUGCCGCGUGUGUGAAGAAGGCCUUCGGGUUGUAAAGCACUUUUGUCCGUAAAGAAAUCCUUGGCUCUAAUACAGUCGGGGGAUGACGGUACCGGAAGAAUAAGCACCGGCUAACUACGUG
This 486-nucleotide ribosomal RNA is filed under the name uncultured bacterium. RNAcentral describes it as "partial 16S ribosomal RNA". It matches the Rfam family "Bacterial small subunit ribosomal RNA", at positions 30 to 507 of the family's 1533-position model. The record is from RNAcentral.